GCGCGGCGCGGCGGGCGGAGGAGGAGUGCGCGAGGGCACCUUCUCUUCUCACUCUCCAAUAGCAUGUGGAAGAGAGACCCUUAUAAAGGGGUCCAAACUCUCCUCCACUAGCGGGGUGGGACUAAACUCCCACCACCUUGUCAUGCCACCACCUACAUGGGCCCUUGGAGAUUUUUCUGAAAUUCUCUAAUGGGCCUAAAGCCCACCUUCAAAUUUCAACACACUAGUGGGCCUAAAGCCCACCUCCAAAUUUCAACAAUCCCCCACCAGAUCUCAAGGGCACAUCGUG
Molecule: long non-coding RNA, 289 nt
Filed under: Hordeum vulgare
Lineage: Eukaryota; Viridiplantae; Streptophyta; Magnoliopsida; Poales; Poaceae
Description: long non-coding RNA (HVUL_LNC013691)
Source: RNAcentral